GACCCUUUCUUUUUUUUUCAAAAAAAAAAAAAAAAAAGAAAAAAAGAAAAAAUCCUUGUCUGGUCUGGCCAGCUUGGACUGAGCGUAGCUGUUCCAGCUGUGCUAUCCAGAAAUACUCUUUGUGUUUGACGAGGAAAAUUUGUGAUCGUUCCCCUC
RNAcentral lists this small RNA (156 nucleotides) under Histoplasma capsulatum var. duboisii H88. RNAcentral's name for it is "Histoplasma capsulatum H88 hypothetical RNA". The record is from RNAcentral. Lineage: Eukaryota; Fungi; Ascomycota; Eurotiomycetes; Onygenales; Ajellomycetaceae.